Molecule: ribosomal RNA, 440 nt
Filed under: uncultured bacterium
Lineage: Bacteria
Description: partial 16S ribosomal RNA
Rfam family: Bacterial small subunit ribosomal RNA
Source: RNAcentral
CCUACGGGAUGCAGCCGUGGGGAAUAUUGCACAAUGGGGGAAACCCUGAUGCAGCGACGCCGCGUGAGCGAUGAAGUAUUUCGUUAUGUAAAGCUCUAUCAGCAGGGAAGAAGAUGACGGUACCUGACUAAGAAGCCCCGGCUAACUACGUGCCAGCAGCCGCGGUAAUACGUAGGGGGCAAGCGUUAUCCGGAUUUACUGGGUGUAAAGGGAGCGUAGACGGCGAUGCAAGCCAGAUGUGAAAGCCCGGGGCGCAACCCCGGGACUGCAUUUGGAACUGGGUGGCGGGAGUGUCGGAGAGGCAGGCGGAAUUCCUAGUGUAGCGGUGAAAUGCGUAGAUAUUAGGAGGAACACCAGUGGCGAAGGCGGCCUGCUGGACGAUGACUGACGUUGAGGCUCGAAAGCGUGGGGAGCAAACAGGAGUAGAUACCCGAGUAGUC